AGAGCGAACGCUGGCGGCGUACUUAACACAUGCAAGUCGAACGAGGAUCAUCGGGUUAGCAAUAAUUCGGUGGUCCUAGUGGCGCACGGGUGAGUAACACGUGGGUGACCUGCCCUUGAGCUCGGGAUACCCCCUCGAAAGGGGGGCUAAUACCGGAUACGUUCCCCGGUCGAAAGACUGAGGAGGAAAGGUGGCGCAAGCUGCCGCUCUUGGAGGGGCUCGCGGCCUAUCAGCUAGUUGGCGGGGUAACGGCCCACCAAGGCUAUGACGGGUAGCUGGUCUGAGAGGACGACCAGCCACACGGGGACUGAGACACGGCCCCGACUCCUACGGGAGGCAGCAGUGGGAAUUUCCGCAAUGGGCGAAAGCCUGACGGAGUGACGCCGCGUGUGGACGAAGGCCUUCGGGCGUAAACCACUGUCAGUGGGAAAGAUGGGUGUCGGCGCUAAGUACCGCCGGCAUCUGACGGUACCUGCAGAGAACGCCCCGGCCAACUCUGUGCCAGCAGCCGCGUAAUCUA
Molecule: ribosomal RNA, 520 nt
Filed under: uncultured soil bacterium
Lineage: Bacteria
Description: bacterial SSU rRNA
Rfam family: Bacterial small subunit ribosomal RNA
Source: RNAcentral